UAGCUGUCCACUUUUGUUGGAGCAAAGAUCCACCAUCAGAUCAUUAAGAAGCCAAGGACAAUAUGGAGAACGGCAAGAGAAGGAGGUCUUGUCAUCUUCGCUGGGGAUACAGAAGGCUGGAGAAUCCUGUGACCUGCAAGAGAUGGAAGGAGAGACUCCAGAUGCAAGCAAACUGACAUCGUUUUGGAGCCUUCAAGAGGAUGGGCAGAGCUAAGGGAGAGGGUGGUGUUAUUCUGGGACUUAGGUGAAUUCUCCUUGAAAUCACCCUUCGUUCUGGAUGAAUGUCUGAAAACAAUUCAUUUCUCAUGGAAUGAGAUAACUGAAACAACAGGAGGA
Molecule: long non-coding RNA, 336 nt
Organism: Alligator mississippiensis (American alligator)
Lineage: Eukaryota; Metazoa; Chordata; Crocodylia; Alligatoridae
Exons: 3
Source: RefSeq, a predicted model, not a curated record